GGUGAGGUAACGGCCCACCAAGGCAAUGAUGGGUAGCCGGCCUGAGAGGGUGAACGGCCACAAGGGGACUGAGACACGGCCCUUACUCCUACGGGAGGCAGCAGUGGGGAAUAUUGGACAAUGGACCGCAAGUCUGAUCCAGCAAUUCUGUGUGCACGAUGACGUUUUUCGGAAUGUAAAGUGCUUUCAGUCGGGAAGAAGUCAGUGACGGUACCGACAGAAGAAGCGACGGCUAAAU
Molecule: ribosomal RNA, 238 nt
Filed under: Fusobacterium necrophorum
Lineage: Bacteria; Fusobacteriati; Fusobacteriota; Fusobacteriia; Fusobacteriales; Fusobacteriaceae
Description: partial 16S ribosomal RNA
Rfam family: Bacterial small subunit ribosomal RNA
Source: RNAcentral